This is a long non-coding RNA of Antechinus flavipes (yellow-footed antechinus), 6831 nucleotides long. RefSeq lists it as uncharacterized. The transcript has 2 exons. NCBI's taxonomy places the organism in Eukaryota, Metazoa, Chordata, Mammalia, Dasyuromorphia, Dasyuridae. The record is from RefSeq and is a predicted model, not a curated record.
GGUUUGUGAAUUCUUUCACACAGGACCUGUGCUGACCAGAGGGAAUUCUCACAUCAAUUCUCUACCACUAGACUAGCAUCAAUACUAAAUUUUAACAGGGCUGGAUAUUUAAUUCUGGAAAAACUGAGAGGAUGAACUUGGCUUGGCCAAAGAUAAGAUCCUCUUGACUUGGUUUUCCUAUUGUGUAAUUUUCUUCUGAAAAAGAAUGUUUCCUACCUGAAUAAUCCUGAAUCUAGCAUGAUGGAAUUUUUGCUGCAUGAAUGAUUAUUCUAUAAAUUUGACUAUGACUAUAACCUGAUAUCAAACAGAACUUAGAACACUUUAUCCUGAUAUACAUGUGUUGAGUCAAAAUUAUCUUUUAUCUUUAGUAAUUAUUUCUCUCUCUCAUUUGGUUAAGAAUAUAUCUUCUACAUAUAAUUUUGAUAAUAUUAACAUUUUAUUUUGGCACAGCCUAGCCAUGAACACUGAAUAUUCCUCCAUCUUUUUAUGUUUUUCUUCAUUUCUUUAAGAGGCACUUUGUAAGUAAACUUAUACAAGUCUUAAGAUCCUUAGAUAAUGCAUAUAUUUGAUAAUUAUUUGAAAAGGGAUAUCUCUUGUCUUCUUGUCUUUUGAUAUUAUUACAUAGAAAUGUAAUGAUUUUUGAGGAUUUAUUUUAAAUCCCAUAACUUUGUUGAAGUUAUUGUCUCAAUUGGUAUUUUUGCUGAUUUGCUAGCAUUUUCCAAGCUAAAAAAGGAGAUCACUAGAGAGCAGGGAUAGUUUUAUCUUUUAUGUUUAUUCUUUUAAUUUUGUUCCUCUUGUUUUAUUGCCAUUAUGAGCAUUUCUAGAACUAUAUCAAAUAAUAAUCCUUGUUUCACUCUCACCUUUAUUGGAAAAGAUUCCCGUAUAUCCCCAAUGCAUAUACUUCUGGCUUUCACUUUUAGACACAUGUUUUUUAUGUUUUUUAUAUAUAUAAAGAUCUAUGGCCAUACCUUAUAGGGUGUUUAGUAUGAAAGUGUACUAUACUUUGUAAAAGGCUUUUUCUGAACCUAUUGAAAUGACUGUGAAGUUUGAGGUGUUUUGAUUUUUAAUAUAAUUAGUUAUGUUGAUUGUUUCCAAUUAAUUUUUUUUCCAGCUCUGACUCUUCAUUAGGAAUGCUUUAUAUCAACAAAUAUCCAUUCUUUCUCCUGAAAUAUUAUUCUCAGUUUUGCUGGAUAGGUGAUUCUUGGUUGUAAUUCUGGCUCUUUUCCAUCAAGAAUAUCAUGUCAUCUCAAACCUUUCAAUCCUUUAAUAUAGAAACCACUAAAUCCUGUGUAAUCCUGACUGUGUCUUCAUGUUUGAAUUAUUUCUUUCUGGGUGCUUGCAGUAUAUUCUCCUUGACCUGAGAGCUCUACAUUUGGCUAUAAUAUUCUUGGCAGUUUCUGUUUUGGGAUCUCUUUUUGGAGGCAAUUUGUGGAUUCUUUCCAUUUCUAUUUUACCCUCUGAUUCUAGGUUAUGGGAGCAGUUUUCCAUGAUAAUUUCUUGAAAUAUGAAGUUCAGGCUUUUUUUAUGAUUGUGGUUUUCAGGGAAUACAUCUAUUUUCCAGGUUAGCUGUUUUUCCAAUGAGAAUUUUCACAUCUUUUAUUUUUUUCAUUCUUUUGUUUUGCUUUUGCUUUUGCUUUUCUUAAUGUCUUACAGAAUCAUUAGCUUCAACUUAACCAAUUCUAAUUUUUAGCUAAUUCUUUUCUUCAGUGAGUUUUUGUACCUCUAUUUCCAUUUGGCCACUUUUACUUAUUAAGGAGUUGUUUUCUUCAAUGAAUUUUUGUAAGUCUUCCAGUUUUUGUGCCUCCUUUACUAAGCUUACUCCUUUUUCAUGAUUUUUUUUUUGCAUCACUCUCAUUUAUUUUCCCAAAUUUUCUUCUACCUCUCUUAAAUUUUAAAAAUCCUUUUGGAAUGCUUCUGAGAAUUCUUUUUGGGCCAGAGACUGAUUCACAUUUGUCUUUGAGACUUCAUAUGUAACUGUUUUGACAUAAUUGUCCUCUUUUAAGUUUGUGCCAUGAUCCUUCCUAUCACCAUAAUAACUUUCUGUGAUUGUAUUUUGUUUUGUUUUGUUUUUUUUUUUUUUUUGGUUGGUGGUAGGGUUUUUUGCUCAUUUUUCUGUCUAUUUUGUGGCUUUUUGCUGUAUGUAAAAAUUGAAUUCUGCUCUUGAAGUAGAAAGGGUAUUUCCCUCAACUUUUUUUAUGCUCCCCCCCCCUCGCCAAGACUUUGCUGUUAGCUUGCUCCUGGGAUUGGAGCCUUUGCUGCUGGCUUUUAGAGUGUUUUUUUUUUUUCAUUAGUUUAUUCAUCAAUUGUGCUCCCCUCCAACUCCAGUGAGUUAGUCCUUUGCUAUUGACUUUCCAAGCUUUCCUAGGCUUAUAAACUGCUUUACCAUUCCAAAACUGGUACUGAGGCAUUAUUGCAAGGAUGUCUGGAUAGGAAUUUGGGAAGACUUAGGUGAGUUCCUCACUCUGCCAUCUUGGCAGCAGAAGUAUUAAUUUUUUACAUUUCAUUUUUGUACCCCUUUCUAAGAAAGGAUUUCUCUCAAUCUCUUCAUUAUCUUCUCUUUAUGUCUAUUCUAGAUCCUCAUUCUUUGGUUCAUUAUCCCUAUAACUGUCUGGUAUCUUUCCUCUUUUGUAUCUUUCAUACAAUCAAAGCUUCCAAAGUAUCCAUUCUAGGUUUUCUUCUAAGUGAUUUCUAUGACUUACAUCAUGGAUUCUCCUUUUUCAUUGUAUCUCAGUUCCAGAACAAUGACGAUAUUUGCUGAUUUCAGAGUGAACCCUGCUCCACUACAUUUCUGAUUAUGGAGCCUAUCAGUGAUGUGAUCUGAAUAUUGCCCUGUUACCUUUCUCCUCUCUCCCCAAUUUGCCUCAAAAAUUUCUCCUUCCUGGAUCCUUGCCCUUCCACUCCCCUAGCUGCCAGUUUAUUCCUGAGGCUCUUUCUCCUCUCCCUCCACUGCUAAUGAAGGAUGAAUACACUUUUCAAGCACCAAAUUCCCCAGAUCAUCCCAGGGUAAAGUCCCCAUCUCCCUUCACAGGCCAUUACUUUUCUUCCAUAGGAGCAUUAAUCAAAAAGACCCCUUUCUAUUAUCAAAGUAGGGCCUCAUUCCUUUAACCCACUUUUACUUUUUUUCCUUUGUCCCACUUUUUUACUCUCCUAUCCUUCUCAUGCACUUUCCUGUAGACUCUUCUCUUUCUGAGACCACAGGUGUCACAUUUCCCCAUUUGCUAACAGCAAAUUUGGCCCCCAGCACAUCACAUUUUCCUCUCUAUCUCUCUGCUCCUUGCUUCACUCCUUCAUGUAUCCUAUGUUGUAGACUUACAGAAAUACAUCAAUUCACUCUCAGCCACAAUGCCGUCUGCUUUUUUACUCUUGUUUCUACCAGAUUUCCACCUUCACUCCUGACUAAAUGUGUACCUUUAGAAAAAGUUUCUUACUGCUCCCUUCACUGCCAUUUUGUUGCUGUUAUAUGUCUUUUUGCUGUUGCAUUUAUUCACUCUUCCACAUUUCUUUUCUUUGGAUAUUUGAGUAGCAAAUCAUGUUUUUAGUUUUGGUUUUCUUUCUAAAAUGUUUCAAAUGCUUCUUUAUUAAUGAAUGUUCAUUUUUUUCACGUAUGACUAAGUUCAUAUUUGCAAGAUAGGUCACCCUGGGCUGCAUAUUGAGCAUCAUUGCUCUUGAGAACACAUUAUUCCAUUCCCUCCUACGUUUCCUAGUGGGUGCAAAACAGUUUCACAUUAUUCAAAUUUCCUUUUCUUUAAUUUAAAAAAGUAUUCUGAUCCCUUGAAGAACUUGUUUUUGAAUUGAAGUGCUAAAUUUAACUACCUAUAUCUGAGUUUGCAGCCUCAUUUCUAUCCAACAUAAGAUGAGUCUUUAGAAAUUGGAGUCCUUCAGGUAUUCUAAGGAAAGGUGAAUACUCUAAGGAAAGGUGAACAAAUCCAGGUCAGAACUGGAGAAGGUCAAAGCUCAGCAGUCCAUAAACGUGCCCUUCCAGUCUGGGAAAAAAAGAGCCAGCUUAAAAAAGCAAAAAAAAAGGACAAUGAACUGUAAUAGGAGACUCAGAGAUCAGUGUAUAACUCAGUAGAUGCCAUAGAACAUCAAUAGAGCUCUAAAAUGUAAUUCAUUCAGAAUAAUUGUUAUCAAGGUCUAGAAUAUCAUUAGCAACUAGAGAAUCUUGAAAGCAAUCAGGAAGAUAUUUACGUAUUGACAAAUAGCUCAAAUGAUAGGAAAUAAAAGAAAUUUCUACAAUGCAUUAUACUGGAAAGGGAAAUUAGCUUGAAUCUCAAAUAUCUAUACUGCAAAUCUGAGCAUUAUGAUAAAAGAUGUGUUUUCAGUGAGGACAGAAAAUUUAAUUCUGGAUGAGAAAGUUUUUGACACUGUCUAGGACACUCCUAGGUACUUUCAUUAAGAGUUUUUUGUUUUUUUUUUUCCAGAAGGUGUUUUGUGGGUUACUUCUAUUUUUACUUUCUAAUACAUCUAGGUAAUUUUCUUAUGAAUUUUUGAAAUGUGGUAAAAAAAUUUGUUUUUUGGUCAUGGUUUUUAAGGAGUCUGAUGAUUCUUAUAUUAUCUCUCAUUGACUUAUUUCUUUGUCAAUUGCUUUUAACAGUAGGAUAUUUACUGUUUUCCUUUUUUAAAAAAGAUCUUUUGACUUUGCUUUAAUAUUUCUUUCUUUUUUCAACAUUAGUUUUUUAAAAUAAGAUUUCGAGUUCCAAUUUUUUUCUCCCUUUUCUCUUCCCUACAAUGGCAAAUAAUCUGAUAUAGGUCAUACAUGUGCAAUCAUGUUAAAAAUAUUUCCACAUUAGUCACAUUGUGAAAGAGAAACCGAACAAAAGGAAAAAUCUGUGAAGAAAACAAAGAAAAUGAAAAUAGUAAGCUUCAAUUGACUUUCAGAUUUUCUCUGUUUUUUCUUUGGAUGGGAUAGCAUUUCUAUCAUGACUCUUUUGGCACUGUCUUGGAUUAUUGUAGUGUGAGAAGAGCUGUUUUUCAUACUCAUCAUUGCACAAUGUUGCUGUUACUGUGCACAAUCUUCUCCUGAUUCUACUCACUUCAUUCAGUAUCAGUUCAUUUAAGUCUUUCCAGGUUUUUCUGAAAUCAGAUAAACCACAACUUAUUCAACCAUUCCCCAAUUGAUUAGUAUCGCCUCAAUUUCCAAUUCUUUGCCAUCACAAAAAGAGCUGCUAUAAAUAUUUUUGUAUAUUCUUUUUCCUUUUUUAAUGAUCUUCCUGGGAUACAGACUUAAUAGUGGCAUUGCUGGAUCAAAAGGUAUGGACAUUUUGUGCUUUAAUAUUUCUUAUUUUUGCAUAAUCAUUGGGUUCUGUUUUUCUAAUUUUCAGUGUAUGUAAUUAGGUAAGAUUUCCCAUCUUCUAUUCUAAGCUUUGUUUUCCUUCCCAUUUUUUUUUCUUUAAGAACUCAAAUUUCAAUUUUUAUCCCUUGCUUCAUCUCUUCUAACUAUUCUUUUAUUUCUUGUGUGGUCAAUUGAUUUUUUUCUCUACAUGUGGAGUUAAUCAUAUUUUUUGAUUUAUUUCUUGGGCUUCACUUAUAUAUAGUAUUUCUUCAUUUUCAUUUGGCAUUUUCUUUAUAAAUAUUUCUAAGCCAAGUUCUUUUUUUGUUUGUUUAUUUUGUUUUUUAAUAAUAGCUUUUUAUUUUCAAAAUACAUGCAAAGAUAGUUUCCAACAUUCACCUCUACAAAACCCCACAUUCCAAAUUUUUCUCCCUCCCUUGUCCCCAUCCCUCUCCCCUAGACAGUAAUCCAAGAUAGGUUAAACAUGUGCAAUUCUUCUAAACAUAUUUCCACAGUUAUCAUGCUGCACAAGGAAAUCAGAUCAAAAAGAGAAAAAAAUGAGAAAAAAGAAAUAAAAAGGUGAAAAUACUAUGUUGUGAUCUACAUUAAGUCCUUAUAAUCCUCUUUCUAGAUGCAAAUGGCUCUCUCGAUCACAAGUCUAUAGGAAUUGACCUGCAUCAUCUCAUUGUGGAAAAGAGCCAAAUCCAUCAGAGUUGAUCAUUAUAAUCAUCUUAUUGCUUGAUUCUACACCCUUCACUUAGCUCCAGUUCAUUUACAGAUUGAUCCCCUACAAGCCUACAUCAAGAGAAAGAAGACAUAUUGUUGAUUUGAAAGUGGCUACCAAAUCAGCAUGCUCAUGACCAAAAGGGGUUCAAACAAAAAGGACCCUUUAGAGCAGGGGUUUGGUUUUUUUGUUUUGCGUUAGCAGGUUGGUGAAACCUAUGGACUUCUCAGCAUAACAGUUUUAAAUGCAUUAAAAUAGAAUGCAUGUAAUUAUAAAGGAAACCAGUUAUGUAGAAAUACAAUGAUCAAGAUUAAAAACCAGCAACCAGCAACAAAACACCCCAAACCCUAGUUCAUGGAUCCCAAGUUAAGAAAAUUUCCUUUGGAAACUGCAUAGGGGUGGGGAAUAUUGUAAAGGAAAUAAUUAACUUGACCCAAGUUACAUGAGGAGUAAACUGGCCCAAAGAAUUAUGACCUCUGUGGAAAGGCCAGCAUGCUAUGCUAUCAUGUAUAGAUACAGAAAAGCAAAAGACUCAGGUUCACUCAUAAGAAUAACAGUACAAGACAUUUUAAGUGCUAAUUUGGGUGCAUGCCAUUAAAAGUUGUGGGCUUUAGAAGAAAAAAAUUGAAUGAGGAAGGAAAAUUUCACGAAAGGGCCUAGGUAGUAAGGGAAUUCACACUUAGGACACGAGUAAUGUAGAUAAAAAUAAGAAUUGUUCCAAACUUUCUGGAAAACAAUUGGAAUUAUGCAAGAAAACCCUUUAAAUUGCUAAUACUAUUCUUUGACCUAGUGAUCCCAUAUUGGGGAACAGGCAAUCAAAUACAAAAUAUUCACAAAA